RNAcentral lists this ribosomal RNA (743 nucleotides) under uncultured Vibrio sp. Its description in RNAcentral is "bacterial SSU rRNA". It matches the Rfam family "Bacterial small subunit ribosomal RNA", at positions 56 to 778 of the family's 1533-position model. The record is from RNAcentral. Lineage: Bacteria; Pseudomonadati; Pseudomonadota; Gammaproteobacteria; Vibrionales; Vibrionaceae.
UGCAAGUCGAGCGGAAACGAGUUAUCUGAACCUUCGGGGAACGAUAACGGCGUCGAGCGGCGGACGGGUGAGUAAUGCCUAGGAAAUUGCCCUGAUGUGGGGGAUAACCAUUGGAAACGAUGGCUAAUACCGCAUAAUGCCUACGGGCCAAAGAGGGGGACCUUCGGGCCUCUCGCGCCAGGAUAUGCCUAGGUGGGAUUAGCUAGUUGGUGAGGUAAUGGCUCACCAAGGCGACGAUCCCUAGCUGGUCUGAGAGGAUGAUCAGCCACACUGGAACUGAGACACGGUCCAGACUCCUACGGGAGGCAGCAGUGGGGAAUAUUGCACAAUGGGCGCAAGCCUGAUGCAGCCAUGCCGCGUGUGUGAAGAAGGCCUUCGGGUUGUAAAGCACUUUCAGUCGUGAGGAAGGUAGUGUAGUUAAUAGCUGCAUUAUUUGACGUUAGCGACAGAAGAAGCACCGGCUAACUCCGUGCCAGCAGCCGCGGUAAUACGGAGGGUGCGAGCGUUAAUCGGAAUUACUGGGCGUAAAGCGCAUGCAGGUGGUUUGUUAAGUCAGAUGUGAAAGCCCGGGGCUCAACCUCGGAAUUGCAUUUGAAACUGGCAGACUAGAGUACUGUAGAGGGGGGUAGAAUUUCAGGUGUAGCGGUGAAAUGCGUAGAGAUCUGAAGGAAUACCGGUGGCGAAGGCGGCCCCCUGGACAGAUACUGACACUCAGAUGCGAAAGCGUGGGGAGCAAACAGGAU